Molecule: ribosomal RNA, 226 nt
Filed under: Bacillus amyloliquefaciens
Lineage: Bacteria; Bacillati; Bacillota; Bacilli; Caryophanales; Bacillaceae
Description: partial 16S ribosomal RNA
Rfam family: Bacterial small subunit ribosomal RNA
Source: RNAcentral
AGGGGGGCAUCGCAUGGAGAAGUCUGACGGAGCACGCCGCGUGAGUGAUGAAGGUUUUCGGAUCGUAAAGCUCUGUUGUUAGGGAAGAACAAGUGCCGUUCAAAUAGGGCGGCACCUUGACGGUACCUAACCAGAAAGCCACGGCUAACUACGUGCCAGCAGCCGCGGUAAUACGUAGGUGGCAAGCGUUGUCCGGAAUUAUUGGGCGUAAAGGGCUCGCAGGCGG